CCAAUAGCGUAUAUUAAAGUUGUUGCAGUUAAAAAGCUCGUAGUUGAAUUUCGGGAUUGACGUGACGGUCAUGCCUUAAGGGGUAUGAACUGUUACUGUUGAUUUCUCACCUUCUGGAGAAACUUGAUGUCCUUUAUUGGGUGUCUUGCGGAUCCAGGACCUUUACCUUGAAAAAAUUAGAGUGUUUAAAGCAGGCAUUUUUGCUCGAAUACAUUAGCAUGGAAUAAUAGAAUAGGACGGCAUGGUUCUAUUUUGUUGGUUUUUAGGAUCACCGUAAUGAUUAAUAGGGAUAGUUGGGGGCAUUAGUAUUCAAUUGUCAGAGGUGAAAUUCUUGGAUUUAUUGAAGACUAACUACUGCGAAAGCAUUUGCCAAGGAUGUUUUCAUUAAUCAAGAACGAAAGUUAGGGGAUCGAAGACGAUCAGAUACCGUCGUAGUCUUAACCAUAAACUAUGCCGACUAGGAAUCAGACGAUGUUAAUUUUUUAAUGACUCGUUUGGCACCUUACG
This 507-nucleotide unclassified non-coding RNA is filed under the name uncultured Entrophospora. RNAcentral's name for it is "SSU rRNA". It matches the Rfam family "Eukaryotic small subunit ribosomal RNA", at positions 591 to 1092 of the family's 1831-position model. Lineage: Eukaryota; Fungi; Glomeromycota; Glomeromycetes; Entrophosporales; Entrophosporaceae. The record is from RNAcentral.